Molecule: non-coding RNA, 392 nt
Organism: Poecilia latipinna (sailfin molly)
Lineage: Eukaryota; Metazoa; Chordata; Actinopteri; Cyprinodontiformes; Poeciliidae
Source: the annotation of a RefSeq genome assembly
AAGAGAAACUCCCAUCAGAUCAUCUUCGACACCAACAUGUUCUCUGUAGCUCUGCUGCUGCUGCUUCUGGCUGCUGCAUCCUGUGUGAAGUGUGAGCAGCUGACACAGCCAGCCUCUGUGACUCUGCAGCCAGGUCAACGUCUGACCAUCAGCUGUCAGGUCUCUUAUUCUCUGGGCACCUGGACAGCUUGGAUCAGACAGCCUGCUGGAAAAGGACUGGAAUGGAUCGGAGUGAAAGGCACUGGCUAUACAUCCUACAAAGAUUCACUGAAGAACAAAUUCAGUAUCGACUUAGACACUUCCAGUAAAACAGUGACUCUGAAUGGACAGAAUAUGCAGCCUGGAGACUCUGCUGUGUAUUUCUGUGCCAGAGACUCACAGUGACACAAACA